Molecule: ribosomal RNA, 570 nt
Filed under: Russula sp.
Lineage: Eukaryota; Fungi; Basidiomycota; Agaricomycetes; Russulales; Russulaceae
Description: SSU rRNA
Rfam family: Bacterial small subunit ribosomal RNA
Source: RNAcentral
AUUUUUCUUCAGCAGUCCAAAAUAUUAGUCAAUGCUCGAAAGAGUGAACUAGCUAACUGAAAUCAAUUAUAAUUGAUAACAUAAGGGAAAAUAAUGAUAUUACCUUAUUAUUAGUGUCGUCCAAAACUGGUGCCAGAAGACUCGGUAAGGCCUGAGACACAAACGUUAAUCGUCUUAAUCAGGCGUAAAGGGUUUGUAGGCGGCUUUAAAAUUUACUUAUAAUUAAAUAAGUAAAGAAUAAAAGCUAGAAUCAAAUAGAGGAUAUAUGAAAUAAUGCUUAGAGUAGGUUUGAUAUCCAUAGAUACUAAGUAGAAUAUUAAAGGCGAAAGCUUUUUUCCAUUAAUGAUUGACGCUCAGAAACGAAGGUGAGGAUAGGAAAUAGGAUUAGAUACCCAAAAUACCCCUCUCUGUUAACGAUGAAUGGUAGUUAUUAGUAAAAAAUUUAUUAAUGGUAAUGUUAACACGAUAACCAUUCCGCCUUGUGAGUACAACUGCAAAGUUGAAAACAAAAAAAUUAGUCGGUUUCGGAGCAAACGAAGUGAAGCAUGUUAUUUAAUUCGAUAAUCCGCA